CCCCUAGAUGUUCUGGGCCGCACGCGCGCUACACUGAACAGUUCAACAAGUCUUAACCUUGGCCGAUAGGUCUGGGUAAUCUUUGAACGCUGUUCGUGAUUGGGAUAGACCUUUGCAAUUAUGGGUCUUCAACGAGGAGUUCCUAGUAAACGCAAGUCAUCAGCUUGCAUUGAUUACGUCCCUGCCCUUUGUACACACCGCCCGUCGCACCUACCGAUUGAAUGGUCCGGUGAAAUCUCGGGACGGCGGCUUGGUCGCUUGCGUCCGACUGCUGAAACUUGAUUAAACCAUAUCAUUUAGAGGAAGGUGAANUCGUAACA
RNAcentral lists this ribosomal RNA (320 nucleotides) under uncultured eukaryote. RNAcentral's name for it is "partial 18S ribosomal RNA". It matches the Rfam family "Eukaryotic small subunit ribosomal RNA", at positions 1470 to 1796 of the family's 1831-position model. The record is from RNAcentral.